Siniperca chuatsi (mandarin fish) is the source of this 2486-nucleotide long non-coding RNA. RefSeq lists it as uncharacterized. The transcript has 4 exons. The record is from RefSeq and is a predicted model, not a curated record. Lineage: Eukaryota; Metazoa; Chordata; Actinopteri; Centrarchiformes; Sinipercidae.
CACACCCAUAAUGUUGCAUGCUGGGUCUGACUGAGCUGCUCGUGCGCGCGGUGACCUCUGCCUGCGCGUGCGCGGCCUUUCUGCCAUUUUAACAAUCCCUGUUGCAACUGUUGCAACUCAUUCUCGACUCCUAACUAUUGAAACGUGUUAGAGGAGCGAGUUUGUCGCAGAUAGUUGUAGUUAAACACGGAGAGGCAGCGAGCAGGAGCCGGACUUCACCGUGCGGAAGCUGAAGGAGGCCCGUCCCGACAGGUUGCUGAGCCAGUCCUGAUGUAACUCUGUCAGCAGUGUUGGAUGGCAGAGUCUAUAGUGUUGGCUGAGCUUGUCAUCUGACCCUACUGACAUCCUGAGAACACCGAUCAAUACAACACAACACCAGAGGAAGAGGGCCAAAGUGAGAAUGAUACAGCAAAAGGCUCAAGAUGCUUUGUUGAGGGAGAGAGAGAGAGAGAUUGAACCUGAAGAACAGAAAAGCGAUACAUUCAGAUUUGGACACAUGGUACUCGUCCUGUUGAAGGCUUUGCUUCCUGCCUGGAGGAACAGAGGCUUCUUACACCUGCUCCAGUUACAUACGGUCCACUUUAUAAAAACCAAAACUACCAACUGAUAAACUGACAGCAGUCUCCCAGAAAGCUGCAGGGGAGAAGGAAAAUAUAAAGAGAGAAAGGUCUGGGAGACUAAAUGUAUACAUGUGAGCAGGGAGAGAGUGUGAGAGGUCGACUGAGGUGGAAGAUGAGCAGGAGGGAGAGGAGAUUGGCUUCUUGCUGACAGUGCACAACGCUCCAGGCCUUGGUCAGGUCUGAGGAAGUGCUGCUGUCUUUUCAGUGAUUUCUACAGCCGUGUGGUGGUCUGCUGCAGCGAAUGGGGGAUAUCGCAUGUCGUCCGUCUAUAGAAGCAACAUGAGCUCAGACCGUGGAAAGUCAGGAUGUCUCAUUUAGGGGAACAAUUGAUCCAACAGUAAGUGUUGGAGGGAAACCAGGCAGGUCUAACCACAUCAGACCUUCUAUAAAAGGUGCCAUAUGUCAAGAGUUUUUCUGAAUAAUUCAUUAUAUCUUGCUAAAAGUAAGAACAUACUGGUAUCACAGUAUAAAACGUUUUUAUUUUAACCAUGUGCUAUACAAAUGUCAUUUUUCUGCUUUCUGCAUUUAUUUAGUGUAGUUUAGGAGUUUAGCAGAAUUUCCUACAAGCCAAUCACAAUUUCCCAGAGCAGUUCAAAACCCAAAGAUAUUUAAAGGUGCAACGUGUAAGAAUUGAGACUAUUCUCUACCUGUCGAAGUCAUACUCGUAAAAAUAAGGGGCAGCAUAUCACAUUUCAGGUCAUGACAAUGACAGCUCAGGAAGAGGAGGUUUUCAGAACAGUGGAGAGACUAACCGAAACCUAAGACGGUUUUGGUCAGUUUUAUUUUAUUUCUGUUGAGUUUGAAUGAAGUGUGUUUUAUGAUGAGUUAAACUGCUCUUAGUUCAGUAAAAGAGAGAAAAUUUAAUUCAGAAAUUGUGCGGUUUCACUUUCUGUUCAAUAUCGAAAAUAGGUGUACAAAUAUUUCCUUUGAGUUUAUUUUGUUUAUUUACAGUAUUAGACUAAAAAAAGCUAAGAGAACGUGUGUAACAUAGUAACGUAGCAAACUCGCCGCUCGCACACAUCUCCCAGCUGAAACUAUGGGGGAGGCCUGAGCUAUACUAUCAGACUAUUGCCUCUUGAGGUACUAAGUGGUAUUACAAGACAGGACAGGCCGGGGCUAGCUGGUUAGCAUGCUAACUUAAGUAGAUAUCUCUGCAACACAAUACAUAACGGCAUAAUUUCUUUAUUCUUAAUUUUUUGAAUGUUUUAAACUUAAAUCUCUUAAAUUCUUAAACGUUGCACCUUUAAGUAGCAAAGAUAUAAAACAGAAAAGCAGAAAAUCUGAAGCUAGAUCCAGUAAAUUACUUUUGUCAACAAUUAAUUGACAGAUUGUCAAAAUGUUCAAUUAAUUUUCUGCAGAUCAACAAAUCGCUUCACCACUAAACAGCCCAAACUACAAGUUCAGGGACAGGAAGGACACGAGAGAUGUGAUAAUAUGAGGUUAGUGAGAUGCAGAUAUAUACAAAUUAUCUCUAAAUGAUCAUAUAUAAAUAAAUAAAGCACAUUUGUGCUUCAACAUACAGCUAGAUAGGAUAACUGCAGUGACUAUUUGUCAUUUCACCUGAGUUAAACUUCUCACAAUUAUGUGAAGGACAAAUGUGACCAGAAGGUCGCCAGUUUGAUCCCUGGACAGACGAGAUAAAUGUUAAGGGCAUUGCUCAAGGGCACCUCAGUGGUGGUAAUAAAGGAGGGACAAGCGCUACUCUUUCACUUACCCCACCCAAAAAGCACCAGUUGAGUGGACCGUUGUGUUGGGCAUCUUUCAGGUGUGAAUAUGUGUAACUGUGAGUGUGAUCAGGGCAUUCCUGCUGAGGAUAGCAUUGCUUCCUGUAAUAACUUCCCUGAAUAAAUAAAGAAUUAAAAUGUG